This is a long non-coding RNA of Hylaeus volcanicus, 2515 nucleotides long. RefSeq lists it as uncharacterized. The transcript is spliced from 4 exons. NCBI's taxonomy places the organism in Eukaryota, Metazoa, Arthropoda, Insecta, Hymenoptera, Colletidae. The record is from RefSeq and is a predicted model, not a curated record.
UCGAAUACUUCAGUUCAAUUAUCGCAGUUAAUGUGAUCUCUGUGAAGAAGUGAAUAUAUUUAAGUGUCUUAUCAAAGUAGAAAAGUAGAAAAGCAUUAAUGCUAAAUUGGAUAAAAAACGAUUUCAAUUUUGUUAUUAACGAUAACGACAAUAAUGAUAACGAUGACAGAAGCAUUCAUUGCAAAAUUUGGAAUAAAAAUGUGAAGUGUGAAAGGAAAUCGCAUUUAAAGUAACACAUAAAUACCGACACACAUAAGAAGAAAAUCGAAGAAACUGGUAAUUCAUGUGAAACAGAGGAACGUAUGAAUAGUAUAAUACAUCUAAAAAGUAUUCCUAGUGAUUGCGGUAAAAAGAUUAGAAAAAAAUGUAAAAGAAGGAUUUCCUACAUUAUCGAAAAUGUCUAAUAUUUUAAAUAACGAGGGCAUUCAAGGACCAAUAAGUGUGCCAGAACAAUGUUGUUCUAAAUUUAAAUACGAUACCGAUUACUUCGUGUGACGUAGAGCGAUCGUUCUCCGUGUAUAAAUUAAUUUUGACAGACAAACGCCACCAACUGACACCAUUAAACUUGGAAAAAAUGCUCAUAAUUUAUUGUCACGCGAAUUACAAUAUACCAGAAUAAUUGUGAAAAGUAUUUUAUAUAUGUGUACAUAGCGAAUAUUCUGUAACAUACUAAUAUAUUACUUAUUAUACUACAUUUUAUACAUUUUUCGUGCAUAUUUUGCAUAUGCAUGUUACAUAUUUAUCGUGCAUAAACUUCCGCAGUCUACUAAUUACUUUUAAAUGCAUGUUAUACAGUACUCAGUAAGUAUUACUAACCCAGGGCUCUGUAGAUACCUAGGACUACAAGUAAAAAAAUACAAUGCUUUUAAUAACAAUCGAUGCUUCUGUCUAAUCUGUGCACGUCGAAGUCAGUGGUAAUAUCGUGAUUUCCUGAGAAACGUAAGGUCUCGCGGGUGCCAUCAUUCGAACAGCCGUUUGCUAUAUAUCGUUCAAACCUCCCUGCUGUUUGUAGCAGAGGGGGGUGGAAGCUAGGUGUAACUGUAGACCAGUUACAACAGAACGUCUCAGGGGUACCACUUGCGUCAAAUUGAAAUUGGACUUUGCAGCGGAUUAACUCUUUGCGCCAACAGAGUCGCAACUUCGCCUUGUCGACCCGUCAAUCCAAGCGCGUCCUAUUCUCCCCGCCGCGCCUGCUCGCGCCACGCUCUUUGUCCUCUCGCACUUCCAACAACCUCACGUGGCCUCUCGAGGGGUGAGACGGCUGGCAGACAGCUUGGGGAGCCUUUGGCUACGUUGACGGGACUUUCGCAAGACGUCGGCGUCGUGCCUGGGAUAAAAGAUGGCGACCAGACGUUCAGUUUUUCUUUUCACAAUUGUGCGAGCAGCUGCUCCAUUCUUCGAGUUUUCCUGUUCCUCGUUAAACUUCCUGAUGAGGAUGAUUACGUCAGGCUGAACUAGGUUUCGUUGGGAUCUACUUAACGUUAAAUCACAUGUAAACAUGUGUUUGUAGCUAGCCUUAGAGUAACCUGGCUAGAUCUGAUCGAACAUUAUUAAUUAAAUAAGGAAUUGUGUGAAGUAUGAUUAAAGAACAACUUAAAGCUACAGGUGCAUGUUGGACAUCAGCACAAUGCAUGAUUUAGACAGUCGGAUUGAAUAAAGUAGCAAGAGGAACUACAAAAUGGAAAUAUACUCAAAUAACACAUGAAAUGAGAAUGGAUAGUCGAAUAUUCGCUUUCGUUAUUUCCAAACUGCAUAACAUUUUAAAUAGUCGGAUGUCAAUGCUUUACAACCGUAAAGUGGCGAUAUAAUGUUGGUGUGCCAGAGAGUACAACGUCAAGCUUUGUCACCACGUUGGUGAGACGUUCUUUGCAUGCAAAGAGUUCAUACAGAUUUAAGGAGUCUUUCUGGUGUGACACUUUUAGAAAAUCAAUUUUUUAUACAAAAAUAUAUUUAAGAAUACGCUGUUAAAGUUUGGACAGGUUAUUCAAAUUAUUUUGUCUUUUACAGGUGAUAUAAAGUGGUAGAUAUCACAGUGAAAUCAAGCAUAUGUAAAAGUACUUCUUAACGGAACGUUUUAUUUUUUCUUUAUUGAUUCUGUCACUACGAGGCCUUGUAUUCUCAGAGCAACACUUCCUCUUAAAUUUUGACAUUGUUCUUAAAUUUUGUAAAUUGAUGCUAACAUGUUUUGCUACCUACGGCAUUAGGAUAAAUUAAUAGCAUUUAUGCCAUUAGUAACAUUGUUAGGCUUUUGAAACUCAUACAGCAUGAAAUGUCUAAUAUGAAACUUAUUCUUAGUUUGUUCUUCUAUUCUUAACCCUUUCCCUGUGGCACAUUAAUCCGCUGAGGCGCUUUUACUGACGGGAUACCGUGCCAGAAAGUGUACGCCUUGUGUUCAAACAGUAUUGAGAUAAGGUGACAUUGUAGAGGUAUUGUGGACUUGGAAUAUAAAAGAAGUUUGGAUAGAGUAAUAAUUUCUUAAUGAUACUCAAAACUGUAAGUCCAGAGUAAAUAUACA